This 65-nucleotide transfer RNA is filed under the name Danio rerio (zebrafish). It matches the Rfam family "tRNA". From Rfam's summary of the family: Transfer RNA (tRNA) molecules are approximately 80 nucleotides in length. The record is from Rfam by way of RNAcentral. Lineage: Eukaryota; Metazoa; Chordata; Actinopteri; Cypriniformes; Danionidae.
GCUCGGCUAGCUCAGUCGGUAGAGCAUGAGACUCUUGAUCGUGGGUUCGAGCCCCACGUUGGGCG